AAUAUUGCGCAAUGGGGGGAACCCUGACGCAGCAACGCCGCGUGAGUGAAGAAGGCCUUCGGGUCGUAAAACUCUGUCAUUGGGGAAGAAAAAAAUGACGGUACCCAAUGAGGAAUCCCCGGCUAACUACGUGCCAGCAGCCGCGGUAAUACGUAGGGGGCAAGCGUUGUCCGGAUUUACUGGGCGUAAAGGGCGCGUAGGCGGUAGAUUAAGUCAGAUGUGAAAGUCCAGGGCUCAACCCUGGAAUUGCAUUUGAAACUGGUUUACUUGAGUGCAGGAGAGGAGAGCGGAAUUCCUAGUGUAGCGGUGAAAUGCGUAGAUAUUAGGAAGAACACCAGUGGCGAAGGCGGCUCUCUGGACUGUAACUGACGCUGAGGCGCGAAAGCGUGGGUAGCGAACA
RNAcentral lists this ribosomal RNA (400 nucleotides) under uncultured bacterium. RNAcentral's name for it is "partial 16S ribosomal RNA". It matches the Rfam family "Bacterial small subunit ribosomal RNA", at positions 360 to 774 of the family's 1533-position model. The record is from RNAcentral.